GACGAACGCUGGCGGCGUGCUUAACACAUGCAAGUCGAACGGAAAGGCCCUGCUUUUGUGGGGUGCUCGAGUGGCGAACGGGUGAGUAACACGUGAGUAACCUGCCCUUGACUUUGGGAUAACUUCAGGAAACUGGGGCUAAUACCGGAUAUGAGCUCCUGCUGCAUGGUGGGGGUUGGAAAGUUUCGGCGGUUGGGGAUGGACUCGCGGCUUAUCAGCUUGUUGGUGGGGUAGUGGCUUACCAAGGCUUUGACGGGUAGCCGGCCUGAGAGGGUGACCGGCCACAUUGGCACUGAGAUACGGCCCAGACACCUACGGGAGGCAGCAGUGGGAAAUAUUGCACAAUGGGCGGAAGCCUGAUGCAGCAACGCCGCGUGCGGGAUGACGGCCUUCGGGUUGUAAACCGCUUUCGCCUGUGACGAAGCGUGAGUGACGGUAAUGGGUAAAGAAGCACCGGCUAACUACGUG
This 468-nucleotide ribosomal RNA is filed under the name uncultured bacterium. Its description in RNAcentral is "partial 16S ribosomal RNA". It matches the Rfam family "Bacterial small subunit ribosomal RNA", at positions 28 to 507 of the family's 1533-position model. The record is from RNAcentral.